RNAcentral lists this ribosomal RNA (329 nucleotides) under uncultured eukaryote. Its description in RNAcentral is "partial 18S ribosomal RNA". It matches the Rfam family "Eukaryotic small subunit ribosomal RNA", at positions 1470 to 1796 of the family's 1831-position model. The record is from RNAcentral.
CCCUUAGAUGUUCUAGGCCGCACGCGCGCUACACUGACGAUGGCAACGAGUUUUUCCUUCGCCGAAAGGUGUGGGUAAUCUUUUGAAACAUCGUCGUGCUGGGGAUAGAUCAUUGCAAUUUUUGAUCUUGAACGAGGAAUUCCUAGUAAGCGCGAGUCAUCAGUUCGCGUUGAUUACGUCCCUGCCCUUUGUACACACCGCCCGUCGCUACUACCGAUUGAAUGGUUUAGUGAGGACUCCUGAUUGGCGCCGCCGCCCCGGCAACGGAGCAGCGGACUGCCGAAAAGUUGUUCAAACUUGAUCAUUUAGAGGAAGUAAAAGUCGUAACA